This 169-nucleotide ribosomal RNA is filed under the name uncultured Alphaproteobacteria bacterium. RNAcentral describes it as "partial 16S ribosomal RNA". It matches the Rfam family "Bacterial small subunit ribosomal RNA", at positions 338 to 524 of the family's 1533-position model. RNAcentral also lists the same sequence under 1 other name. The record is from RNAcentral. Lineage: Bacteria; Pseudomonadati; Pseudomonadota; Alphaproteobacteria.
CCUACGGGAGGCAGCAGUGGGGAAUCUUGGACAAUGGGCGCAAGCCUGAUCCAGCCAUGCCGCGUGAGUGAAGAAGGCCUUAGGGUUGUAAAGCUCUUUUACCAGGGACGAUAAUGACGGUACCUGGAGAAUAAGCCCCGGCAAACUUCGUGCCAGCAGCCGCGGUAAU